UUGACGGAGAGUUUGAUCCUGGCUCAGGACGAACGCUGGCGGCGUGCUUAAUACAUGCAAGUCGAACGAUCCCGGGACUUCGGUCCCAAUGGGAGAGUGGCGAACGGGUGCGUAACACGUGAGAAACCUAUCCCGGAGAUGGGAAUAGCCCAGGGAAACCUGGAUUAAUGCCCAAUACCCUGAGAGCGCCGCAUGGCGCAUUCAGGAAAGGUUCCGGCGCUUUGGGAGGGUCUCGCGGCCUAUCAGCUUGUUGGUGAGGUAAAGGCUCACCAAGGCAUCGACGGGUAGCUGGUCUGAGAGGACGAUCAGCCACACUGGGACUGAGACACGGCCCAGACUCCUACGGGAGGCAGCAGUAGGGAAUCUUGCGCAAUGGGCGAAAGCCUGACGCAGCAACGCCGCGUGGGGGAUGAAGGCCUUCGGGUCGUAAACCCCUUUCAGCAGGGACGAAAUUGACGGUACCUGCAGAAGAAGCGCCGGCCAACUACGUGCCAGCAGCCGCGGUAAUACGUAGGGCGCAAGCGUUGUCCGGAUUUAUUGGGCGUAAAGGGCUCGUAGGCGGUUCGGUAAGUCGGGUGUGAAAACUCAGGGCUCAACCCUGAGACGCCACUCGAUACUGCCAUGACUAGAGUCCGGUAGAGGAGUGCGGAAUUCCUGGUGUAGCGGUGAAAUGCGCAGAUAUCAGGAGGAACACCGACAGCGAAGGCAGCACUCUGGGCCGGUACUGACGCUGAGGAGCGAA
Molecule: ribosomal RNA, 742 nt
Filed under: Acidimicrobiia bacterium
Lineage: Bacteria; Bacillati; Actinomycetota; Acidimicrobiia
Description: bacterial SSU rRNA
Rfam family: Bacterial small subunit ribosomal RNA
Source: RNAcentral